Molecule: ribosomal RNA, 310 nt
Filed under: Escherichia coli
Lineage: Bacteria; Pseudomonadati; Pseudomonadota; Gammaproteobacteria; Enterobacterales; Enterobacteriaceae
Also listed under: 2 other names
Description: bacterial SSU rRNA
Rfam family: Bacterial small subunit ribosomal RNA
Source: RNAcentral
GCUACACACGUGCUACAAUGGCGCAUACAAAGAGAAGCGACCUCGCGAGAGCAAGCGGACCUCAUAAAGUGCGUCGUAGUCCGGAUUGGAGUCUGCAACUCGACUCCAUGAAGUCGGAAUCGCUAGUAAUCGUGGAUCAGAAUGCCACGGUGAAUACGUUCCCGGGCCUUGUACACACCGCCCGUCACACCAUGGGAGUGGGUUGCAAAAGAAGUAGGUAGCUUAACCUUCGGGAGGGCGCUUACCACUUUGUGAUUCAUGACUGGGGUGAAGUCGUAACAAGGUAACCGUAGGGGAACCUGCGGUUGGA